Molecule: long non-coding RNA, 1002 nt
Filed under: Manihot esculenta (cassava)
Lineage: Eukaryota; Viridiplantae; Streptophyta; Magnoliopsida; Malpighiales; Euphorbiaceae
Description: long non-coding RNA (MESC_LNC005907)
Source: RNAcentral
CUAUAAUUAGGGAUGGUAAUGAAUCGUGUAUUUUUUAAUAUUUUAUUCGAUUGAAUUCUAAUAAAAUGAAUUUAAAUAGUAACUUUUUUAUAAUAAUAUCUGAUGACCGCUGAGUUUCUUCACCCGGUAUAAGGUCAGGCCCAUUAAGGCAGUUCAUAAUCUGAAGACUUCUAGGCCCCCUCUAAAAAUCAGGUCCAGUCCAUUCUGUUCAAAGACCGGGUUUCAAUCCGUUUCUUCAGAACAGGCCGGCUUAGCUCUUCCGGCCCGAUGGACAGAUCCUCUCUGAGCCUAGUCUCAACCUCAUCCCCCGGUCCAGCUCAGAAUCAGGAAGGAAUUCAGCCCCUUCACCUUAUGGGACUAUCCGCAUGGGCGCCCGAAGAGAAUUAGGGGGCCGUUAUGCAUUGGACAAAGAUCUGAUUCCCUCGUACGUCCGUAUCAACGUAGCAGGGACAGGUGGUCCAAUGAUACAUGUUCUGUUAACACGUCACUAGCAGACAAAAGGAAACAUAUAAAAGGAGAGAUACUCUCCUCUAGGUAUAAGUUUUUCCAGUUUUUACAGAACCCAUUAUAAAACCCUAUUUUCUGGAUUUCAGAUCAUCAAUUGGCGCCGUCUGUGGGAACGAAGAUCUUUUCAUCGCCGGAGUUCCACUCUCACAAAUACCCACUGAGAUCCACAAUGGCUAACCACAACGAAAACAACGUCACUCCAAAUGACCUGAGCUCUGCCCAAGAGGGGCAGCAGUUCUCCUUUUCUAUUCCUACAACGCCAAACAAUCAAACACCAAUCCCUUUCAACCCCUCGCCAAGCCUGGCGGGGAAUGCUUCCGCCUCCACCUUAUCCAACCAAGACCUUCAAACCAUGGCCCUCCAACUACAAAGCACCGCCCACUGGUUGGGGCAGAUAAUGCAGCAACGGGGCCUUAGCACCCCCACAAACGUGUCACCAGUGGUAGAAGAACCCCAGACCAACGAACUUCAGCCUACCUUCAACCACCCCAGAAC